This 221-nucleotide unclassified non-coding RNA is filed under the name Hevea brasiliensis (rubber tree). Lineage: Eukaryota; Viridiplantae; Streptophyta; Magnoliopsida; Malpighiales; Euphorbiaceae. The record is from RNAcentral.
GAAAUCCGCAUACAUACUGGAAUUCAAAGUGCUCAAUAGUCUCAUAAUUUUCAAAGUUUGGCAAUAUGAACCCAGGUAACACAGAAUACCACAGAUGCUUCUAUUAAGGCAAAACUGAGGCACCCUGGAGACUUGACGCCAGGUUAGAUGACCGUCACCCUCACCUGAACCAUGGGUUUUAUUAUUUGCUCACGGUCUCUUGAAUGUGUUCUUAUAGGUGC